CUGCAUAACUUGUGAUCCUAAUGUGAAUCUUAUGCAAAUAAUAAAUAACUUGUUUUCCCAUAAUCAAGUUGUUGCACACGAGUAAGAAAAACAAAUAAAAGAACAUGUGGACAUUAUUCUAAUUGAUUGACAUAAUAUUUACUUUUUCAGGUGUUAUCGUAUCAAGUAGAUGUUACAAUGCUGGCACUGUGUGCAUUUGAGCUUGGAAUUUCUGCCUGGAUUCUCACUUUCCUAAUCAUAUUGAGAAGGACAGCUUUAUAAGUGAAAAACAUACGUUGUUUUUCAAUACAACACUUUUUAAACUACCAAUCAUUUAAAUGUGAAAUGCUACAGCAGAACGCACUUACCGGCAUUCUUUUCAUAUCUGUUAUUAAAAGAACUAUGAAACGAU
Non-coding RNA from Pelobates cultripes (western spadefoot toad), 391 nucleotides. The record is from the annotation of a GenBank genome assembly. NCBI's taxonomy places the organism in Eukaryota, Metazoa, Chordata, Amphibia, Anura, Pelobatidae.